UCUCCGUUGGUGAACCAGCGGAGGGAUCAUUACCGAGUUUACAACUCCCAAACCCAAUGUGAACCAUACCAAACUGUUGCCUCGGCGGGGUCACGCCCCGGGUGCGUCGCAGCCCCGGAACCAGGCGCCCGCCGGAGGGACCAACCAAACUCUUUCUGUAGUCCCCUCGCGGACGUUAUUUUUACAGCUCUGAGCAAAAAUUCAAAAUGAAUCAAAACUUUCAGCAACGGAUCUCUUGGUUCUG
Molecule: unclassified non-coding RNA, 244 nt
Filed under: plant metagenome
Description: partial contains small subunit ribosomal RNA, internal transcribed spacer 1, and 5.8S ribosomal RNA
Source: RNAcentral